AGCGGCCCUUCAAAGAGGGCUUGGAACAGGACGUCAUAGAGGGUGAGAAUCCCGUCUGCGACCGGCUGGCACCCCACACGUAGCUCCUUCGACGAGUCGAGUUGUUUGGGAAUGCAGCUCUAAAUGGGAGGUAAAUUUCUUCUAAAGCUAAAUACCGGCCAGAGACCGAUAGCGCACAAGUAGAGUGAUCGAAAGAUGAAAAGCACUUUGGAAAGAGAGUUAAAAAGCACGUGAAAUUGUUAAAAGGGAAGCGCUUGCAACCAGACUUGUCGACGGUGUUCCGCCGGUCUUCUGACCGGUUCACUCGUCGUCGGCAGGCCAGCAUCGUCUGGGGCCGCCGGAUAAAGGCUUGGGGAAUGUGGCUCCUCCGGGAGUGUUAUAGCCCCUCGCACAAUACGGCGCGCCUCGGGCGAGGUCCGCACUUCGGUAAGGAUGCUGGCGUAAUGGUCGUAAGCGGCCCGUCUUGAAACACGGACCAAGGAGUCGAUCAAUCGUGCGAGUGUUCGGGUGAAAAACCCUUGCGCGCAAUGAAAGUGAACGGAGGCGAGAACUUCGGUGCAUCGUCGACCGAUCCAGAUGUCUUCGGAUGGAUUUGAGUAAGAGCAUGCCUGAUCGGACCCGAAAGAUGGUGAACUAUGCCUGAAUAGGGUGAAGCCAGAGGAAACUCUGGUG
RNAcentral lists this ribosomal RNA (672 nucleotides) under Vermiconidia antarctica. RNAcentral's name for it is "eukaryotic LSU rRNA". It matches the Rfam family "Eukaryotic large subunit ribosomal RNA", at positions 171 to 869 of the family's 3401-position model. The record is from RNAcentral. Lineage: Eukaryota; Fungi; Ascomycota; Dothideomycetes; Mycosphaerellales; Extremaceae.